This is a long non-coding RNA of Antechinus flavipes (yellow-footed antechinus), 242 nucleotides long. RefSeq lists it as uncharacterized. The record is from RefSeq and is a predicted model, not a curated record. The transcript has 2 exons. NCBI's taxonomy places the organism in Eukaryota, Metazoa, Chordata, Mammalia, Dasyuromorphia, Dasyuridae.
AUGGCCUCUCUGAGCCUCGGGUGUUUUCAUCUGCCAGACGGGGCUGGCGAGGAGACCGCCCGCCUCAAGCUUGUUGCAAGAACCGGGUUCUGGUCUAGGACUUAGGACAGAGCAAACUCUGGAUCCAGACAGAAAUAUACAAGCCUGAGGAAAAAUGAUAUUGCAUGCACAGUAUUCUCCUGGUCUGCACUGCUGAAAAUCGCCACCAUCAUCUCCCACAAGUCAUUUGUUCCUGAAACUUU